UCCCUCGUAGUCUAGUGGUUAAGAUUCUGCUCUUCCACUGUAGGGGACCUGGGUUCAAUACCUGGUUGGGGAA
This 73-nucleotide transfer RNA is filed under the name Ovis aries (sheep). It matches the Rfam family "tRNA". Rfam says of the family: Transfer RNA (tRNA) molecules are approximately 80 nucleotides in length. Their secondary structure includes four short double-helical elements and three loops (D, anti-codon, and T loops). Further hydrogen bonds mediate the characteristic L-shaped molecular structure. tRNAs have two regions of fundamental functional importance: the anti-codon, which is responsible for specific mRNA codon recognition, and the 3' end, to which the tRNAs corresponding amino acid is attached (by aminoacyl-tRNA synthetases). tRNAs cope with the degeneracy of the genetic code in two manners: having more than one tRNA (with a specific anti-codon) for a particular amino acid; and 'wobble' base-pairing, i.e. permitting non-standard base-pairing at the 3rd anti-codon position. Lineage: Eukaryota; Metazoa; Chordata; Mammalia; Artiodactyla; Bovidae. The record is from Rfam by way of RNAcentral.